This 440-nucleotide ribosomal RNA is filed under the name uncultured bacterium. RNAcentral describes it as "partial 16S ribosomal RNA". It matches the Rfam family "Bacterial small subunit ribosomal RNA", at positions 338 to 795 of the family's 1533-position model. The record is from RNAcentral.
CCUACGGGGGGCUGCAGUAGGGAAUAUUGCUCAAUGGGGGAAACCCUGAAGCAGCAACGCCGCGUGGAGGAUGAAGGUUUUCGGAUUGUAAACUCCUUUUGUUAGAGAAGAUAAUGACGGUAUCUAACGAAUAAGCACCGGCUAACUCCGUGCCAGCAGCCGCGGGAAUACGGGGGGUGCAAGCGUUACUCGGAAUCACUGGGCGUAAAGAGCGCGUAGGCGGGAUAGCAAGUCAGAUGUGAAAUCCUAUGGCUUAACCAUAGAAUUGCAUUUGAAACUGGUAUUCUAGAGUAUGGGAGAGGUAGGUGGAAUUCUAGGUGUAGGGGUAAAAUCCGUAGAGAUAAAGAGGAAUACUCAUUGCGAAGGCGACCUGCUAGAACAUAACUGACGCUGAUGCGCGAAAGCGUGGGGAGCAAACAGGAUUAGAUACCCGGGUAGUC